RNAcentral lists this ribosomal RNA (248 nucleotides) under uncultured bacterium. Its description in RNAcentral is "partial 16S ribosomal RNA". It matches the Rfam family "Bacterial small subunit ribosomal RNA", at positions 524 to 776 of the family's 1533-position model. The record is from RNAcentral.
UACGUAGGGUGCGAGCGUUGUCCGGAAUUACUGGGCGUAAAGAGCUCGUAGGUGGUAAGUCGGGUGUGAAAUCCCUCGGCCCAACCGAGGAACUGCGCCCGAGACUGCUUCUCUUGAGUCCCGGAGAGGAAGGUGGAAUUCCCGGUGUAGCGGUGAAAUGCGCAGAUAUCGGGAGGAACACCGGUGGCGAAGGCGGUUCUCUGGGCCUGACCUGACGCUGAGGAGCGAAAGCGUGGGGAGCGAACAGG